UUGGCUCUGCCACAGCUGCUUCGACGUUCCUGAUUAUCCUCAUGCUUUGGACAUUCCUACUGGCAGUUGAGCGAUUGAGUAAGUCACAAAAAAACGUAUUCUCUGUGUUUAUCAUCUUAUGGUUUGUACAAUCGAUUAAGGGACAGGCCACUAUUUGUUUGUCCUCAGAAAAGGAGCCCAAAUACUGUCUCGGGCCUGAUGGCCUGCACUCUGGAUCAGGUCUGGUGACGUUAGUCCCCCAGACCUCGUCUGCUGUCUCUGCCGGCUCCUAACACCCUGCGGCCACACACCCACCACAGCUCCACACACAGCUGAUGGCUCCUCUUCUUCCUCCUCUUCUUCCCCCAACUCCUCCCAGCUAACCGAUGACAUCGAGUAGGGAUAACGAGGUCCCUCCUGCUUCUAUUGUCAUCAACUUGACCACUAAUAUCAAGCCCUCUGGACAGUCAGAGAACGCUCUGUGUGGAGAAACAGGACCAGACAAUAGAUACUGCACCCAGCAGAUGGAGCAACACCUGCAGACAAUAUGGGACACAGCUCAAGGUCAGAGCAUCGACUUGCUGGACUACGACGCAAUCCAGGACAUGUCCCUGCUGCUGGGCUCCGCAGACCAUCGGGGCAGUGCCUUGCGGAGGUUCGCUCGUUUCCUUGGAGUCCACCCUCAAAUCCUGGCCCACCUCCAUAGCUUCCCAGACCUUUUCCAUUACCUCCGUGCCUCCACCUAUAUACUGCUGCCCCAACUGGCUCAGGCUGCAGCACUCCUACCCUGCCCAUGGGUCGUUGCUAGGAUACACCAGGCCGUAAUGAAUAAGUGAACAGUGCAACAACCACAAUAGUUUACGAAAGAAAGAGUUGUUAUUCAUUCAUUGAAUGUUGUAUUAAUUAAAUGAUUUGUUUAGCAUUUAAAUGGUUUAAAGUAAAAAAAAAUGGAUGCAUCUUUUAAGUUUAAAUAGUAUAAAUAAAAACAAUAUGUCUUUACCGUUGAAAGCUAUGCAAAUAUAAUGUUCAAUAGUAAAGGUUUAUGUCACUUUUUAUGGACUGCGUACAGCAAAAAAGGAAUUGACCACCAUAAAGCUGACCACUUUAUCACCCCAUGUCUAUGAAUUUUAUAUUAUUAGGGGUCAUAUGCUUCCCCCAUUCAAAUUCCAUUGAAAUAUUGAUUAUUGCAUUAGGUAAGCAUUAAAUAAGACACUGGGAAAUUCUGUGAAAUUGAAGCCAUUGUGCAACCAAACCCCUUCGUGUGAUGUUACUUCUUCCUGUUUACCAUGUAAAAUAAAUGAGGCCCUCUGGCUAAAGCAUGUGAGGCAGUCUUGAACAGACGAUGUUGUGUUCAGGAAAGGCGACAGAACAUAGAGGUCUGGGAAAAAAAGAGCCUCCUUGCUGCUGAAACAUAUCAAUAUAUUUUGCCCUGAUCAUUCCCAGUUCGCCUCAACAGAUUCUUCGACAACAUCGACACGGUGAGCAACUCAAAUUUUCAGAGCAGGGACCCAUACUUGGACUAUAACCCCAAAAGGUAACAUUCUACCAGAUGUAUUGAUGCAUUUUGUAGGAGUUUUCUUUCUUUCCACUGCACGGUUAUAAGUCACAAGUUGCGAGCAAUUUGGUCGGUAGGUUUUAAAAGUAAUUAUAUUGUUUUGCGGUGUACAUUUUUGUAUGUCCCUAAUAUAUGUAUGUUUUUCCAUAUGGUAUUCCACAGUUAAUGGAACUUUCAAAUGUAAUUGACUUCUAUUAAAAUG
This is a long non-coding RNA of Gadus morhua (Atlantic cod), 1736 nucleotides long. Lineage: Eukaryota; Metazoa; Chordata; Actinopteri; Gadiformes; Gadidae. The record is from Ensembl.